GGUUACAUAUGGCAGCUUUAAUAUGUGGGAGAUACUGAGUCAGUCAGGCUGUGUGAAUCACUAACUGUCCAUAAACGGAACUGGAAAAGGAAAUGGAUUCUAUUUAUCCUACAUUUAUCACUACUUACUUCCAGGACUUAGGGGGAUUUGGUAGCAUUACAGAUGCUUUCCACUGCUCCACUUUACUUCAGGUCACUGCUCUUCUGUCCUAGUUCUGAGAUCAUUCACACUUGAAAAGGAAUACUUGAAACUAAGUGGAAGUGUGCAUUUGAAGUUACUAUUGUAUUCUUAAAGGGAUUUCAAGAGGACAACAGCCCCCCAAAUUACCAAUGUAGAUCAGUCAAACGAAAGUAGGUUAUUAGGUUUUGAGGGUGCAGGAACUGCCAUUGUGCCAAUCCAUCCAGCAUGUAAGUUAUCUUGAAGGGUGGUUCAGGGUAAAGAUGGAUGGAGUCUAUGCUGUGAGUGUCUCUGGGGAUUUGUGUUGAUGUCUGAGCCAACUAUCCACUGUUACUUUCCCUCUGUGUGACUGAGCACUGAGCAGCAGCUGGAACAGGGCUGGUAACAGACAGAAGGGUCUCAGGCAGGGCAGGGCAUGACUGACUGACUGAGUGACAGUAACAGGGCUGGUAACAGACAGAAGGGUCUCAGGCAGGACAGUGACUGACUGAGUGACAGUAACAGGGCUGGUAACAGACAGAAGGGUCUCAGGCAGGGCAGGACAGUGACUGACUGACUGACUGAGUGACAGUAACAGGGCUGGUAACAGACAGAAGGGUCUCAGGCAGGGCAGGACAGUGACUGACUGACUGACUGAGUGACAGUAACAGGGCUGGUAACAGACAGAAGGGUCUCAGGAAGGACAGGAUAGUGACUGACUGAGUGACAGUAACAGGGCUGGUAACAGACAGAAGGGUCUCAGGCAGGGCAGGACAGUGACUGACUGACUGACUGAGUGACAGUAACAGGGCUGGUAACAGACAGAAGGGUCUCAGGCAGGACAGUGACUGACUGACUGACUGAGUGACAGUAACAGGGCUGGUAACAGACAGAAGGGUCUCAGGAAGGACAGUGACUGACUGACUGACUGAGUGACAGUAACAGGGCUGGUAACAGACAGAAGGGUCUCAGGAAGGACAGGACAGUGACUGAGCAGCAGCUGUAACUGGGCUGGUAACAGACAGAAGGGCCUCAGGCAGGACAGGACAGUGACUGAGCAGCAGCUGUAACUGGGCUGGUAACAGACAGAAGGGCCUCAGGCAGGACAGGACAGUGACUGACAGCCUGAUGAUGCCAGUUCCUCAUGCCAGGAUCCUGCGGCUGGAGGCAGGAUCUUUAUCUCACAUGGCCCCCUUUUCCCUUCAUAUAGCACCACUGUUGACUCGGUCCCGUAGGGCUCUGGUCUAAAGCAGGGCACUAUGUAGGAAAUAGGGGGCCAUUUAUCAUGCCUCAGUGUCUCCAUCCCCUGCCUGUCGUGGUCAACAGAUUGACCAAUAUCCUUUAACCUUCUUAGUGGAACUGGAAGGCAGAAAGCUGCAGAGUCCCUCAGUCCUAAUCUUACAUUUCUUUAGGCUAUUAACCACUCAGAAUGACACGCCAGGACUGUAGGGAAACUCAAUGAGAGUUGUGGCUCAUUUCUGAGAGCACCUGCUUAGUACAACACAGCACAUUGUGACCGGUUACAGGAUCUGAGGCGUUCGAUGAUGCUUCCUACUUUUAUCUACUUUAUUUGACCUUUAUUUAACUAGGCAAGUCAGUUAAGAACAAAUUCUUAUUUACAAUGACAACCUAACCCCGGCCAAACCCAAACCCGGACGACGCUGGGCCAGCUGUACUCCGUCCUCUGGGACUCCCCAUUAAGACCGGUUGUGAUAAACCCAAACCCGGACAACGCUGGGCCAGCUGUACCCCGUCCUCUGGGACUCCCUGUUAAGACCAGUUGUGAUACAGCCUUAACAGUAAUAUUUGUUUUAAAUAUUAUUGUAUUUUUAAUUUUGUUUUGUUGCAGAAAGGCCUUCUUGAACAUGUCGACUUUCAUGUGCCUUAAUAACAAACUGGUCUGAACAACAAAAGACAAUCUUAUCAAAAUCUUUCAAAGGGCAUUUUCUCCUACUUGUCUUUUCAGUUAGUUAACAAGUGGACCAACUUUUAAAGCAGCAUAACCUUUCUCCUACUUGUCUUUUCAGUUAGUUAACAAGUGGACCAACUUUUAAAGCAGCAUAACCUUUCUCCUACUUGUCUUUUCAGUUAGUUAACAAGUGGACCAACUUUUAAAGCAGCAUAACCUUUCUCCUACUUGUCUUUUCAGUUAGUUAACAAGUGGACCAACUUUUAAAGCAGCAUAACCUUUCUCCUACUUGUCUUUUCAGUUGGAUAACAAGUGGACCAACUUUUAAAGCAGCAUAACCUUUCUCCUACUUGUCUUUUCAGUUGGAUAACAAGUGGACCAACUUUUAAAGCAGCAUAACUUUUCUCCUACUACAGUGGACCAUAUAGACCAGCUCUCACUUACAUUUGACACAAGCCUCAGUAGAAAAAUCUGGACAUUAUUGUCCAUUGAAAUGGACCGGUUCUGUUCUCAUCGUCUAUUACAGAGAGGGUGUAAGUUAAGCUGUGUGAGUCUGUAAUGAGCCCUGAGUUUAACAGAGGAGAGGAGGACCAGUCAAACACACACACACACACACACAGAGACAGAGAGGGUGUAAGUUAAGCUGUGUGAGUCUGUAAUGAGCCCUGAGUUUAACAGAGGAGAGGAGGACCAGUCAAACACACACACACACAGAGACAUAGAGGGUGUAAGUUAAGCUUUGUGAGUCUGUAAUGAGCCCUGAGUCUAACAGAGGAGGACCAGUCAAACACACACACACACACAGAGACAUAGAGGGUGUAAGUUAAGCUGUGUGAGUCUGUAAUGAACCCUGAGUCUAACAGAGGAGAGGAGGACCAGUCAAACACACACACACACACACACACACACACACACACACACACACACACACACACACACACACACACACACACACACACACACAGAGACAUAGAGGGUGUAAGUUUAGCUGUGUGAGUCUGUAAUGAGCCCUGAGUCUAACAGAGGAGAGGAGGACCAGUCAAACACACAUACACACACACACACACACACACACACACACACACACACACACACAGACAUAGAGGGUGUAAGUUUAGCUGUGUGAGUCUGUAAUGAGCCCUGAGUCUAACAGAGGAGAGGAGGACCAGUCAAACACACACACACACACACACACACACACACACACACACACACACACACACACACACACACACACAGACAUAGAGGGUGUAAGUUUAGCUGUGUGAGUCUGUAAUGAACCCUGAGUCUAACAGAGGAGAGGAGGACCAGUCAAACACACACACACACACACACACACACACACACACACACACACACACACACAGAGACAUAGAGGGUGUAAGUUUAGCUGUGUGAGUCUGUAAUGAACCCUGAGUCUAACAGAGGAGAGGAGGACCAGUCAAACACACACACACACACACACACACACACACACACACACACACACACACACACACACACACACACACACACACAGAGACAUAGAGGGUGUAAGUUUAGCUGUGUGAGUCUGUAAUGAGCCCUGAGUCUAACAGAGGAGAGGAGGACCAGUCAAACACACACACACACAGAGACAUAGAGGGUGUAAGUUUAGCUGUGUGAGUCUGUAAUGAGCCCUGAGUCUAACAGAGGAGAGGAGGACCAGUCAAACACACACACACACAGAGACAGAGACAGAGAGACGCACACCUGUCACUAUCGUUACGUGCACCUGCGUGUCAUCAGACUCACCUGGACUCCAUCACCUCCUUGAUUACCUUCCUAUAUAUGUCCCUCCCCUUGGUUCCUUCCCCAGACGUUAUUGUUUCUGUUCCUGUGUUGUUCCUGUUUCUGGUUUUAUGUUGUGUUUAUUUAUUAAAACACUCACUCCCUGAACUUGCUUCCCGACUCUCAGCGUGCAUCGUGUGAGUGUGGGUAGAGUGAGGGAGAGAGAGAGAGAAAGAGUGAGGGAGAGGAGAGAGGGAGGAAGUAGGUAGAGUGAGGGAGAGGAGGGAGGGAGUGAGGGAGAGGAGAGAAGGAGGGAAUGGGUAGAGUGAGGGAGAGA
Molecule: long non-coding RNA, 4151 nt
Organism: Oncorhynchus tshawytscha (Chinook salmon)
Lineage: Eukaryota; Metazoa; Chordata; Actinopteri; Salmoniformes; Salmonidae
Source: Ensembl